RNAcentral lists this ribosomal RNA (28 nucleotides) under Escherichia coli 3-073-06_S3_C1. Its description in RNAcentral is "partial 16S ribosomal RNA". Lineage: Bacteria; Pseudomonadati; Pseudomonadota; Gammaproteobacteria; Enterobacterales; Enterobacteriaceae. The record is from RNAcentral.
AAAUGUUGCUAAUAACUGAAAAGCAAGG